GACCGACAACACCAUCAGGUACAAUGCCAAGCGCCGCCACUGGCGUCGCACCAAGCUCGGAUUCUGAGCGUAUUCUCCUGAGUCGUCCGCCCUUGUCUAUUGAGCAUCUAAGGUUUGCUGUUAGGCGGCCGUUUAGGUUGAAUUUCAUGUCUCAUUUGGCUCUGUUGAGCAGUAGUUUUGUUGUUUCGGAUUUUGUGUUAGACUUUGUUGGUUAACUUAAUCAUGUUUGGUUGAUAUGAUAUCCUCUAUUUGC
RNAcentral lists this unclassified non-coding RNA (253 nucleotides) under Hevea brasiliensis (rubber tree). The record is from RNAcentral. Lineage: Eukaryota; Viridiplantae; Streptophyta; Magnoliopsida; Malpighiales; Euphorbiaceae.